UUGCGAAAGGCUACAGACGGUUCCUAUCCGACAAUUCCAGCGUUGCUAUGGUACUGAUAAACAAACCUGCUAAUGCUAAUUAGUUAGCUAGCAACAGACAUCGAACUAUUGACAUUAUACCGCUAUAUCACAUUUAACCGACGUGACAUGUCAACGUCCUGGGCAACUUUUCUCCACGCAGCAGCCCUUCUAUUAUAUCUGUAUAAGAGAGGUCAUAGAGAAUCGUACAUUCAGACACUUAUCAUCACCUUCAGCACUCAUU
Long non-coding RNA from Sander lucioperca (pikeperch), 262 nucleotides. RefSeq lists it as uncharacterized. NCBI's taxonomy places the organism in Eukaryota, Metazoa, Chordata, Actinopteri, Perciformes, Percidae. The record is from RefSeq and is a predicted model, not a curated record. The transcript has 3 exons.